This 88-nucleotide transfer RNA is filed under the name Sulfurovum indicum. Its description in RNAcentral is "Sulfurovum sp. ST-419 tRNA-Ser". It matches the Rfam family "tRNA". Rfam says of the family: Transfer RNA (tRNA) molecules are approximately 80 nucleotides in length. Lineage: Bacteria; Pseudomonadati; Campylobacterota; Epsilonproteobacteria; Campylobacterales; Sulfurovaceae. RNAcentral also lists the same sequence under 2 other names. The record is from RNAcentral.
AGAGAGGUGGCCGAGUGGUCGAAGGCGCACGACUGGAACUCGUGUAGGUGUAACAGCCUCGAGGGUUCGAAUCCCUUCCUCUCUGCCA